Molecule: non-coding RNA, 1377 nt
Organism: Cinara cedri
Lineage: Eukaryota; Metazoa; Arthropoda; Insecta; Hemiptera; Aphididae
Source: the annotation of a GenBank genome assembly
GUCGACUAACGCGCGCUUUUAAAAGCAAAACGAAAAGUAUUAAUCAGAAAAGAAUUACCGACUACAGUUAAAUUCUAUUAUUGUUAAAUUGUUUUUCCCCUGUAAUUCAUUACGUGUUCAGUAUUUUCGUAAUUUAUAUUUGUAAUAAAAUUUAUAUUUAUAAGUGCAAUAAUUAAAGGCGGUGGAAUGAAAAACGGCUUCAUUUGAGCAGGUACUUUUGAAAAAUCAUUGGUAAUCCGGACGAGGCCCGAUCUGAAUUUGUCCGGAUUAUGUAUUUUUAUUAUUUCGGAGCAAAUCUAUUUUAACGCCCACGCGAAUUUUUUGUUUUUUUUUUUUUUUAUGAUUUAUGCCAAAAUGUGCAAUGUAUACAAAUUACAAAUAUUUCGAUGCGUUCGGUCUCUCUAAACACAGUUAAUCGAAAAUCAAAUAUUGUUUUCGUUGAGAAAAAAAAUGGGUAAUUAAAAAUUAAUGAUUAUUGAAAUAUUAUAUUAUUAAAAUGGAAACAGAUAUCAAAUUAUUUUUAUUAUUUUUUUGCCAGUUCGGCGGACGGAAAUGAACAUAAUGUACCAGCAGUCUAUCAAUAUUGGGCGUUGUUGCACACGGUCGGCAAGACAUCGAUUUUCUACGUCUCCUCGAUUACAGGCGAAACACGAAGUUUCGUACCAGGGACCCAGAAACUGGCGCGACCGUUCGUCAAGGAACUACGGUAAUCAUACACUGCCGUCGGCAAACAUUACACUCUCAUGAACUCCUGGUACAGUUCUCCAAAUUUUCAACGACGUUCCAUUCAUUUUGAAAUAAUUACCUAACCUAAAAUAUUUAUUGAAAAGCGCAAAGAGGUUAGGAAACUCGUGGCGUUUUCGUUUGAACUCGGUGAACCGGGACAAUAUUUUUUGUUUUAUUUGUAGCACUGACUGAUCUCGUGCGCACGCAUAGGCAUUUAUUAUAGAAACGCAAUGCCAAUUUUUACGGUAUGGCAGUUCUGAAUUACGUUUCUCUAUGGCGGGUGUAAUUGUAAUCGAGGUUAGGUUAAUAAUCAUAGACGGAUAAUAUAGAAUAAAUUACUCCAUUGCACCGUAGACGCUUGGAUUAUGCUAGUAUGUGAUCAGAUCUUCUUGGAUUAAUAUUCGAGUACUCUAUGGCGACGCGGAGUCGAUUUUUCCGCCGUUCGUCAGUAAUUCCUCCACGCCCACCGUGACCGCGCGGAAGUGCGUCGCGCGGUGGCGAAUGUCCAUCGCGGUUUUCUGCGACACUUCAUUCGCAUUAAACGCGAUCGUGUCUCCGACGCACGUUCAACAGUGCGGGCACUCGAGAAUUGUUCCCGUAACGGCGCUGAAAUGCCGCCGUGUCGGGUAUUCUUCAUGUGCGCGACGCGGC